UGGAAAUAGAAAUUGAAUGUAGUUCAGUGGCUGACAGCUGUCCUUAAUUAGCCAACGACAUUAGAAGGGUCUGGGAUUCCUUUAAAAGGAGCAACCAAAUAUCUGGCAAAUAUAGUAAAAGGGAUAUUCUGGUAGGACGUAUGCCUACCAUUAGUUCUGAAUACUGGUGAGGUUUUGAGGGAAAAAUGGCCGUGAUGAUUGGAAUCGCUUUCAGCGUUUCUUGGCUUUGUUGCCUGCUAAUUGGAGGGAUAACGUGUUCUACAUCAGAAGGUGAUUGGUCUCCUGCACUGGAUUCUAAUGCAGCAUGGCUCUAUGCAGGAUCACUUCGGUCUCUAGGAUAUGGCAAUUAUAAAUCUCAAAUGCAAGCGCAGCAGAAACAUCCGGCCGCCAUCCUGCGGAAAGAACUGGCCCCCAUGUCCCGGCAACCUCAGCAAGUGUGGUAUCCAGGUCAAAUGCCCCUGCAUCAGAAGCAACGUGCCGCAGAAGCUCAGCAGCAGAGGCAAGCGACAACUGUGCCCCAGCAAGUGUGGCAUCAAGCUCACAUGCUGACAGAACCACCGACCGCCGUGCCCCAGCAAGUGUGGCAUCCUAAUCAAAUGCUGCAGAAGCAAUCACCCGCCUCGCCUCAGCAAGUGUGGCAUCCUGCUCAAAAGCCCCUGCAGCAGAAGCUACCGACCGCCGUGCCCCAGCAAGUGUGGCAUCCAGCUCAAAUGCAGCAGAAGCAACCGACCGCCGUGCCCCAGCAAGUGUGGCAUCCAGCUCAAAUGUCCAAGAAUCGAACAGCCACUGAACCUCAGCAGAAGCAACCAUCCACCACGCCCCAGCAAGCGUGGCAUCCAGCUCAAAAUCCCCUGCAGCAGAAGCAACCGGCCACUGAACCUCAACAGAAGGAGCUGACCGCCAUGCCACAGAAGCUACAGGCCUCCAUUCUCCAGCAGCCUCCGCUUGUGUGGCAUCCAUCUCAAUUUCCCCAGCAGAAGGAACUGGCAGUCGAGCCUCAGCAAGUGAGGUAUCCAGCUCAAAUGGCCCAGCAGCUACCCAACCCCAUUCAUCAGCAAUUAUGGCAUGUAGCCCAAAUUUCCCAGCAGCAACUGGCCCCAUUGUCUCAACAGAAGCACUACGAAAGCACUGAAGAUGCCUCUGGUAGUUCUCAGGCCAGCAUUGAACAGUCAGGUGUCAUCCCCAUCUCUUCCUACAGUUCCAAAUCGCACUACAAGAAUGGCAGAACUGUCUUCUCCCAAAUCAGCUACACUCCUAGGGAGGCAAUGCCUGUUGACAGUGGAAAUGCUCCCAAGGACGGUUAUGUUAGCAUUGGUGCACCAAGCAUAUAUCCAACACUAGUGAAGGAUUCUGCAAGAAAAAUAUAAUGGAUUCAUCCUCUAGAAGCUCUAAUGACCAGGAAGUUGCUGGUGCUCUUGCUACUCUAGUGUGACGGAAUCAAUAAACAACUUACUUUAAAAAAUGCCUUGUCUCU
Molecule: long non-coding RNA, 1474 nt
Organism: Oncorhynchus tshawytscha (Chinook salmon)
Lineage: Eukaryota; Metazoa; Chordata; Actinopteri; Salmoniformes; Salmonidae
Source: Ensembl